AUUGAACGCUGGCGGCAUGCCUUACACAUGCAAGUCGAACGGUAACGCGGGGGCAACCCUGGCGACGAGUGGCGAACGGGUGAGUAAUACAUCGGAACGUACCCAGUAGUGGGGGAUAGCUCGGCGAAAGCCGGAUUAAUACCGCAUACGACCUAUGGGUGAAAGCGGGGGAUCGCAAGACCUCGCGCUAUUGGAGCGGCCGAUGUCGGAUUAGCUAGUUGGUGAGGUAAAGGCNCACCAAGGCUACGAUCCGUAGCUGGUCUGAGAGGACGACCAGCCACACUGGGACUGAGACACGGCCCAGACUCCUACGGGAGGCAGCAGUGGGGAAUUUUGGACAAUGGGCGCAAGCCUGAUCCAGCCAUGCCGCGUGUGUGAAGAAGGCCUCGGUUGUAAG
RNAcentral lists this ribosomal RNA (397 nucleotides) under uncultured bacterium. RNAcentral's name for it is "bacterial SSU rRNA". It matches the Rfam family "Bacterial small subunit ribosomal RNA", at positions 29 to 429 of the family's 1533-position model. The record is from RNAcentral.